CUACGGAGGGUGCAAGCGUUACUCGGAAUCACUGGGCGUAAAGCGCGCGCAGGCGGUCUUUUAAGUUGGAUGUGAAAGCCUACAGCUCAACUGUAGAACUGCAUCCAAAACUAUUAGACUAGAGUCUGGGAGGGGAAGAUGGAAUUAGUUGUGUAGGGGUAAAAUCCGUAGAGAUAACUAGGAAUACCAAAAGCGAAGGCGAUCUUCUGGAACAGUACUGACGCUGAGGCGCAAAAGCGUGGGGAGCAAACAGGAUUAGAUACCCUAGUAGUCC
RNAcentral lists this ribosomal RNA (274 nucleotides) under uncultured bacterium. Its description in RNAcentral is "partial 16S ribosomal RNA". It matches the Rfam family "Bacterial small subunit ribosomal RNA", at positions 523 to 796 of the family's 1533-position model. The record is from RNAcentral.